ACUGAUAAACUCUCCCUUUCCCAAACUCAUCUUCAACCCCCUUGCACUGCCUGUUUAAUUCAGCGUCAUCAGAAAAUAACCCCAAAUGUCUUGCACUCCUGGCUUCUGCUGAUAGAGGAGAAAGGGCUUAAGACCCUGAAAAAAAAAAUUUAUAGGAAAAUUUCCCCAAAAGGUAAGCACAAUAAAAAGUCAAAAGGAGGUACGGGCUGAAGAAUGACUUCCUGCAAUGUGUAAUUUCAAGUAUUCCUGUAUCCUGGAGAAGGCAGCACUCGAGCCACCAUCUUGGAAGUGAAGAUCAGGCCCUCAGCAGACACAAAACCUGCCAGUGCCAUGAUCUUGGAUUUUUCAACCUGCAGGACUAUUCAAUGAAAUUCCAAUGAAAAUCUCAAGUUAUUAUGUGAAUAUUGAAAAACGAACCCUAAAGUUUAUAUGGAGAGCCAAAAAAUGCAAAAGAGCCAGCACAUAUUGAAAGAGAAGAACAAAGUCAGAAGAUUGACACUACCUGACUUCAAGACUUAUGAUAAAGCUUCAGUAAUAAAGACAGUGUGGUAUGGACAAACUAAUAGAAAUACAGAUCAAUGGAACAGAACAGAGAACCCAGAAAUAGAUUCACAUAAAUAUAUUGUCAACUGACCUUUGACAAAUAAGAAAAAGCAAUACAGUAGAGCAAAAAUAGCCUUUUCACUAAACAAAUGAACAUCCACAUUCAAAAAAAAAAAAUGAAUCUAGAUGGAGACUUACAUGCUUCACAAAAAUUAACUCAAAAUGAAUAAUAAACCUAAAUGUAAAACACAAAACAAUAAAAAUCCUAGAAAUAACAUGGAAGAAAAUCUAGAUAACCGUGGGGAUGAAGAUGAGUUUUUAGAUACAGCAUCAUCGGUAUAAUCCACGAAAGAAAAAAUAGAUAAACUGGACUUCAAUGAAAUUAAAAUUUCUGUUCUGCAUAAGACAAUGUCUAGAUAACAAGAAAACAAGGCACAGACUGGGAAGGCAUAUUUGGAAAAGACACAUAUGAUAGAGGACAGUUAUCUAAAAUAUAUCAUGCACCCUUAAAGUUCAACAAUAAUCAAACAAUCUGACUGACAAAUGGGCUGAAGACCUUAAGAGACACUUUACUUAAAGAAGAUUAUACAGAUGGGAAAUAA
Molecule: long non-coding RNA, 1145 nt
Filed under: Homo sapiens (human)
Lineage: Eukaryota; Metazoa; Chordata; Mammalia; Primates; Hominidae
Description: novel transcript
Source: RNAcentral